UGGGGUAUCGCCAAGCGGUAAGGCACCAGGUUUUGAUCCUGGGGAUUCUGAUUCCGGCAUUCCCAGGUUCGAAUCCUGGUACCCCAGCCA
Molecule: transfer RNA, 90 nt
Filed under: Xenorhabdus nematophila F1
Lineage: Bacteria; Pseudomonadati; Pseudomonadota; Gammaproteobacteria; Enterobacterales; Morganellaceae
Description: tRNA-Gln
Rfam family: tRNA
About the family: Transfer RNA (tRNA) molecules are approximately 80 nucleotides in length. Their secondary structure includes four short double-helical elements and three loops (D, anti-codon, and T loops).
Source: RNAcentral